Molecule: non-coding RNA, 950 nt
Filed under: Cnemaspis tropidogaster
Lineage: Eukaryota; Metazoa; Chordata; Lepidosauria; Squamata; Gekkonidae
Description: 12S ribosomal RNA
Rfam family: Bacterial small subunit ribosomal RNA
Source: RNAcentral
CACAGUUUUGGUCCUGGACUGUGUACUGUUGUUUUUAGCCACAUUUACACAUGCAAGCAUCAACAUUCCGGUGCCACACCCCAUGUCUACCCACUAGACAGGACUAAGUAUCAGGCACGCCAAAUGCAGCCCAAGACACUAAGCCCAGCCACACCCACACGGAACUCAGCAGUGAUAAACAUUAAGCCAUGAGGCCCCCUCGACUUAGCUAUAGCUACAUCACAUUAACCAAGGGCCGGUAAAUCCCGUGCCAGCCACCGCGGUUAUACGGCAGGCCCAAAACAACAACUAGCGGCGUAAAUUGUGACUAGAUACAACUCCAAUAUCGGAACCAUACUCACUAGAAAGUUAUAAAAUACCCAUAAACAAAGAACAACAAAGCGGCUUCGUAUCAGGAACACUUUUGACCUCACGAAAGUUAGGACACAAACUAGGAUUAGAUACCCUACUAUGCCUAACCGUAAACCCAGACAGACAAAAACCACCUCUCCGCCAGAGAAUUACUAGCCCCAAGCUUAAAACUCAAAGGACUUGACGGUGUCCCACUACAACUAGAGGAGCCUGUCCUAUAAUCGAUACCCCACGUUUUACCUCACCCACCCUUGCCCCUCCGCCUAUAUACCGCCGUCGCCAGUCUACCUUGUGACAAAUGCCAAGUAGGCAAAACAGCUGCCCCCGCUAAAACGUCAGGUCAAGGUGUAGCCAAUGGGCGGGAAAGAGAUGGGCUACACUUCCUUUAAAAGAUCCCACAAAGCACCAUGAAACAGUGCCACCAGCAGGAUUUAGAAGUAAAUAGAAAGAGCUUUUUCCCUUGAAACUAACCAUGGGACGCGUACACACCGCCCGUCACCCUCCUCCCAACACAAACAACUAUAUAUAAUACAAGAUACAGACCAACAGAUGAGGCAAGUCGUAACAUGGUAAGUGCACUGGAAAGUGCACUUGGAACA